Cervus hanglu yarkandensis (Yarkand deer) is the source of this 125-nucleotide small nucleolar RNA. NCBI's taxonomy places the organism in Eukaryota, Metazoa, Chordata, Mammalia, Artiodactyla, Cervidae. The record is from Ensembl.
GGGGUGUGCUCAGAGUCGGGGGCCUGGGCUUGUCUCUGUGCAACACACCCAACAGGAACUUGGGUUCUUUGUGAAGAGGGGUGCAAAACUUGUGUGGCCUUGCUAUGAACAAAUACCCAACACAU